GCUUUCUCACCUUCGGGUCUCAACUCCGUCGUCUAGCCAUGAAUCCUACAAAGGACUCCGAUCCCCUCACCGAAGAGGAAUCCAGAUCGCUGUUCGAAAAGGGGCCGCCGCUCAAGGGCCGCGAUGAGAUCGCGGAGAAGCUCCGCAACUUUAUCAAUCGAAACUCGGGAGCUAGGGUUGUUUGUGUCACCUCCGGCGGCACCACUGUCCCUCUCGAGCAGCGCUGUGUUCGAUUCAUCGACAACUUCAGCUCCGGCCAGCGCGGAGCGGCUUCAACUGAGUACUUUGUGAAGGCUGGUUAUGCGGUGAUUUUCCUCAACCGAAGGGGGAGCUUGCAGCCGUACUUGAGGCAUUUGCCGCAGGAUUCGUUUCUAGAUUGUUUUGAGCUUGCUGAUGAUCAGGUUCAAGCGCGCGAAUCAUAUGCUGCGGUGGUUAAUAAGGCAGUUAAG
RNAcentral lists this unclassified non-coding RNA (449 nucleotides) under Hevea brasiliensis (rubber tree). Lineage: Eukaryota; Viridiplantae; Streptophyta; Magnoliopsida; Malpighiales; Euphorbiaceae. The record is from RNAcentral.